GUGAGUGUAUUCCAUGGUCUCAACCUUCACAUCUGGGCUGCAUGACAUCAUACCAGAGUGUACACUCGGUACCUUCGUUUGAUCCGACUGUUCCUGCAAGGAUGUUUAAGUCUGUGAAGAUUUUCAGUCAUCCAGGCUUCAGGGGUUUCCUCCCCCGUCCUAAGACAUGCAUUGUGGGCUGGCUCUGUGAUAGUGGGUGAUUGUUCCAUACCACGCAGUGUGUCCCUCACCUAGUCCCCUGGGAUAUAUUACAGGCUCCACAUGACCCUGUAUAGGAUAAAGGGUACAGUUGCCCAGAUGGACUGAUGCUCCUUAAAGAAGCUCUUGGGUUUGAGAUGGGGGGUUUAUACUUAUUCUCUCAGCAGAGGGUAAAGAGAAAAAAUGGCUCAUGGAGCUAGGUGCUUUGAUGUCUAUUGAAGAGGAGAGCCUGUUUGAACGCUCUCCCCAGGAAGCUCUUUGCAGAAAAGCGCCAGAGGCUCUUGUGGGAUUACACAGACGUGCGUGUCUUUCAUCUGAGCUGUAACACAGAAACAUCUACUGCAAAGUACAUCAAAAGAGAAUUUUAUAUAGAUUUCUCCCAUGUGGUGAAUAUAUUGGGGAUUCUGCCAGUCUAAUUCCUUCUUUAAUUUUUAUUGUCAAAAGCAAAUGCAGUUCUAAUUCAUUUCAUGAGCUUAUUAUGAAACAUUUAAAGAGUUUCUAAUUGUUAGCUGUGGCUUAAAGGACCAGUAUAUUCUUUUAUAACACCUAGAUAAAAUGCAAUAUCUGUUUUAAAUGUUUUAUUGUCACAUUUACAUGUGCAUUUUAUGUGAAUAAUGCUUAACAGGAUAUAACCCUGAAAUCUAAGAUUCUUGGAAUGAUCAAAUGCAUCAUAUUGUAAAUCACAAAACAAUAGAUUUUUACUAAGAAGUUCUGAUACAAGACAACAACAUUGUCUUGCAAAAUUUCAUGUUGAAUCUUCACAAACUGUGGUAACUUGUGCUCAUAGCACUCCAUUGCCAAUGAACACCUGACUCAACACCACAAAUUAUUGGUGGGAACCAUGCUACAAAACAUACAAAUGUUUAUUAAGCUGUGGCUCGUGUGCUUCUAGGCCAAGGUACCAUGUAUACUAGUGGUAAAUCUGUGCCUAAGCAAAUUAAAAGAGUAACUGGUUGAUUCCUCUUCACUUUAUGCCCACUUAGAAUCCCCUGAGCCAUUCAACUGCCCAGUUCACACAUUGACACUGUGUACAGGAAGAACAACCAAGUCUUUUAAAAUAUAAUCAAAGAAAUCAAGAGAGUAACUUAUAAUCUUUACCCGCCGUGUCGUUAGCACGUAUCAGGAGUCUCCAUGUUCAGUUUUCAAGCUUGCCAACUCUGUUUCACUGGGAAGGCUUCAGAUAGUGGAUCAGACACUGAAAGAACGGCAGCAUAUUUCAUAGGGGCCAUCAUUGAUUACAUUGUUGUCAGCAACACUUUGUUGCCUGUCUCGAUAAGUGUUUUAAACAUUGUCUUCUUCAUAUUUCCUAAUUUUGUCUUGUCAUUUGUUUGGUUUGCUAUUUUGGUCUUAAUAAAACUAGGAAACCUAAUGUCUUGCAUGUUGAAGCAACAAAAUUAUUACCAUUUUAUGGUUUUAGAUUUGAGACUUUCUUGGCAUUUAUGUCCAGUCUUCCAACAAAAUCCUUAUAUUAAUAAUGGCUAAGUAUGAAUUUGUGAAUUUUGAAUCUUCACAUGUGGAGUGUUCCAGUAUGGCUGCAGGUAAAGAUGAUGGAUGAUCAUGUAUACUUUCUUAGAGUGUGUGCAAAUGCAUGAGUUUGUGUGAGAAAUCAUAACCCAAGCUCAUUUUGUCAGGGCUAAUUUGUCUACAGUCAGUCCUAAGCAGCAUGACUCACUGAACAUGCUGCCAAGCUUAAUUGACACUCCUCAUAAACUAUCCUGCAUGUAUCUUUGCCAAGCUGUUAGACAGCAUGGCAGUUUGGUGUGAGUGUGCAGCAGUGAACAGGACAUUGUGUUCUUAAAAGAAUUAUGCACAUGCUACUGAUUUCUUAUACCGUUUCCCUACUGCUAAAAACGUGCAUUUUGUCUGCUGCACAUGUUCUGCACUCACUGUUAUUGAAAAACUAUUUUAUUAAAAUAUCCCACAAAUAUGAUUACAGUUCAGCAUGUAAAAAAUAAUUUUUAACUUUUAAAUUUAUAGGCAUCUUAUCUGAUAUACCUACAUAUACUGUAUAUAGCACAGCAGCAUUAGUUGAGUUCAGUAUGAAGCAUGACCAGAGCAAAGCAUGCCAUUUUAUUAGUGACAUGACAUACGGCUAAGUACGGUGACCUACACUCAGAAUUUGUUCUCUGCAU
Long non-coding RNA from Tachysurus fulvidraco (yellow catfish), 2330 nucleotides. RefSeq lists it as uncharacterized. Lineage: Eukaryota; Metazoa; Chordata; Actinopteri; Siluriformes; Bagridae. The transcript has 4 exons. The record is from RefSeq and is a predicted model, not a curated record.